RNAcentral lists this ribosomal RNA (773 nucleotides) under uncultured Neocallimastigales. Its description in RNAcentral is "partial large subunit ribosomal RNA". It matches the Rfam family "Eukaryotic large subunit ribosomal RNA", at positions 23 to 632 of the family's 3401-position model. The record is from RNAcentral. Lineage: Eukaryota; Fungi; Neocallimastigomycota; Neocallimastigomycetes; Neocallimastigales.
AGAGAGAGACAUGCGCGCAUAUCAAUAAGCGGAGGAAAAGAAACUAACAAGGAUUCCCCUAGUAACGGCGAGUGAAGCGGGAAGAGCUCAAAUUUGAAAUCUUAAAGGGUUUCCCUUUACGAAUUGUAGUUUAAAGAAGUGUUUUCUGUUGAGGUUUUGGUAAAAGUUCUUUGGAAUAGGACAUCAUAGAGGGUGAGAAUCCCGUAUUUGACCUUUACUUUCAACUUUGUGAUACACUUUCAAGGAGUCGGAUUGUUUGGGAAUGCAGUCCAAAAUGGGUGGUAAAUUUCAUCUAAAGCUAAAUAUUGGCGAGAGACCGAUAGCGAACAAGUACCGUGAGGGAAAGAUGAAAAGAACUUUGAAAAGAGAGUUAAACAGUACGUGAAAUUGUCAAAAGGGAAGCGUUUGACACCAGUGUUGUUUUUCUGAAAAUCAAUUAAAGAACUGUUUAUGCUAAGUUGUUUAGACUUUAUCAGCUAACUGUUUAGUUUUGAGCUUUUCUUUAAUGCACUUUUCAGUUAACAAGUCAACAUCAAUUUCUUUUGCUGUAAAAAAGCUUGAGGAAGGUGGCUUGAGAUUCGUCUUAAGUGUUUAUAGCCUCUUGCCUAUGCAGUCGGAGAGAUUGAGGUCUGCAGCGUAGAUCCUUCGGGGCUAAAUGCAUUUGUGCUAAGUUAUAGCAUUUUAUAGACAACUUGUUGACUAUGAUUUGUCUUGUAGCUUACUCGCUUAUGUUAUUUUACCUACGCUUAGGAUGUUGAAGACUCUACAGAGAU